Molecule: long non-coding RNA, 208 nt
Filed under: Citrus maxima (pomelo)
Lineage: Eukaryota; Viridiplantae; Streptophyta; Magnoliopsida; Sapindales; Rutaceae
Description: long non-coding RNA (CMAX_LNC002377)
Source: RNAcentral
GCAAUAACUCUACGAUGGCGUGCACCGCAAAAAAUACGAACCCAAUACAUGCCUGAUAAAAUAUGGACCAAUUAUGAUUUAAAACAUUAUGACGAUCAAUGGUAUAGGCUUUGAAUGCAAGAAGAGCAGAUUGAUCCACUGUGAUGUUUGUUACACCCGCAGCGAAGCUCGCUGUGAACCAUUGUAACAACAACAUAGGAACAAGGUA